UACGUAGGGUGCGAGCGUUAAUCGGAAUUACUGGGCGUAAAGCGUGCGCAGGCGGUUCUCCAAGUCCGUUGUGAAAGCCCCGGGCUCAACCUGGGAAUGGCAGUGGAAACUAGGGGACUGGAAUCUGGCAGAGGGGGGUGGAAUGCCGCGUGUAGCAGUGAAAUGCGUAGAUAUGCGGAGGAACACCGAUGGCGAAGGCAAUCCCCUGGGCCUGCACUGACGCUCAUGCACGAAAGCGUGGGGAGCAAACAGG
This 253-nucleotide ribosomal RNA is filed under the name uncultured bacterium. RNAcentral's name for it is "partial 16S ribosomal RNA". It matches the Rfam family "Bacterial small subunit ribosomal RNA", at positions 524 to 776 of the family's 1533-position model. The record is from RNAcentral.